This 120-nucleotide ribosomal RNA is filed under the name uncultured bacterium. Its description in RNAcentral is "partial 16S ribosomal RNA". It matches the Rfam family "Bacterial small subunit ribosomal RNA", at positions 29 to 147 of the family's 1533-position model. The record is from RNAcentral.
AACGAACGCUGGCGGCGUGCCUAACACAUGCAAGUCGAGCGAGAAAGUUCCUUCGGGAACGAGUACAGCGGCGCACGGGUGAGUAACACGUAGGUAACCUACCCUCGAGCCCGGAAUAAC